Molecule: ribosomal RNA, 230 nt
Filed under: uncultured microorganism
Description: partial 16S ribosomal RNA
Rfam family: Bacterial small subunit ribosomal RNA
Source: RNAcentral
UACGUAGGGCGCAAGCGUUGUCCGGAAUUAUUGGGCGUAAAGAGCUCGUAGGCGGUUUGUCACGUCUGCUGUGAAAUCCCGAGGCUCAACCUCGGGACUGCAGUGGGUACGGGCAGACUAGAGUGUGGUAGGGGAGACUGGAAUUCCUGGUGUAGCGGUGGAAUGCGCAGAUAUCAGGAGGAACACCAAUGGCGAAGGCAGGUCUCUGGGCCACAACUGACGCUGAGGAG